UACGUAGGGUGCAAGCGUUAAUCGGAAUUACUGGGCGUAAAGCGUGCGCAGGCGGUUUUGUAAGUCUGUCGUGAAAUCCCCCGGGCUCAACCUGGGAAUUGCGAUGGAGACUGCAAGGCUAGAAUCUGGCAGAGGGGGGUAGAAUUCCACGUGUGAGCAGUGAAAUGCGUAGAGAUGUGGAGGAACACCGAUGGCGAAGGCAGCCCCCUGGGUCAAGAUUGACGCUCCAUGCACGAAAGCGUGGGGAAGCAAACA
This 255-nucleotide ribosomal RNA is filed under the name uncultured bacterium. RNAcentral's name for it is "partial 16S ribosomal RNA". It matches the Rfam family "Bacterial small subunit ribosomal RNA", at positions 524 to 774 of the family's 1533-position model. The record is from RNAcentral.